This 2198-nucleotide ribosomal RNA is filed under the name Vibrio cholerae. Its description in RNAcentral is "partial 23S ribosomal RNA". It matches the Rfam family "Bacterial large subunit ribosomal RNA", at positions 1 to 2234 of the family's 2925-position model. The record is from RNAcentral. Lineage: Bacteria; Pseudomonadati; Pseudomonadota; Gammaproteobacteria; Vibrionales; Vibrionaceae.
GUUGUAUGGUUAAGUGACUAAGCGUACACGGUGGAUGCCUGGGCAGUCAGAGGCGAUGAAGGACGUACUAACUUGCGAUAAGCGCAGAUAAGGCAGUAAGAGCCGUUUGAGUCUGCGAUUUCCGAAUGGGGAAACCCAACUGCAUAAGCAGUUACUGUUAACUGAAUACAUAGGUUAACAGAGCAAACCGGGGGAACUGAAACAUCUAAGUACCCCGAGGAGAAGAAAUCAACCGAGAUUCCGGUAGUAGCGGCGAGCGAACCUGGAUUAGCCCUUAAGCACUCGGUGAAGUAGGUGAACAAGCUGGAAAGCUUGGCGAUACAGGGUGAUAGCCCCGUAACCGACGCUUCAUCGAGCGUGAAAUCGAGUAGGGCGGGACACGUGAUAUCCUGUCUGAAUAUGGGGGGACCAUCCUCCAAGGCUAAAUACUCCUGACUGACCGAUAGUGAACCAGUACCGUGAGGGAAAGGCGAAAAGAACCCCUGUGAGGGGAGUGAAAUAGAACCUGAAACCGUGUACGUACAAGCAGUAGGAGCACCUUCGUGGUGUGACUGCGUACCUUUUGUAUAAUGGGUCAGCGACUUAUAUUCAGUGGCAAGGUUAACCGUAUAGGGGAGCCGUAGCGAAAGCGAGUCUUAACUGGGCGCUCAGUCUCUGGAUAUAGACCCGAAACCGGGUGAUCUAGCCAUGGGCAGGUUGAAGGUUGAGUAACAUCAACUGGAGGACCGAACCGACUAAUGUUGAAAAAUUAGCGGAUGACUUGUGGCUAGGGGUGAAAGGCCAAUCAAACUCGGAGAUAGCUGGUUCUCCCCGAAAGCUAUUUAGGUAGCGCCUCGGACGAAUACUACUGGGGGUAGAGCACUGUUAAGGCUAGGGGGUCAUCCCGACUUACCAACCCUUUGCAAACUCCGAAUACCAGUAAGUACUAUCCGGGAGACACACGGCGGGUGCUAACGUCCGUCGUGGAGAGGGAAACAACCCAGACCGCCAGCUAAGGUCCCAAAGUAUUGCUAAGUGGGAAACGAUGUGGGAAGGCUCAGACAGCUAGGAUGUUGGCUUAGAAGCAGCCAUCAUUUAAAGAAAGCGUAAUAGCUCACUAGUCGAGUCGGCCUGCGCGGAAGAUGUAACGGGGCUAAGCAAUACACCGAAGCUGCGGCAAUAUCUUUUAGAUAUUGGGUAGGGGAGCGUUCUGUAAGCCGUUGAAGGUGAAUCGUAAGGUUUGCUGGAGGUAUCAGAAGUGCGAAUGCUGACAUGAGUAACGACAAAGGGGGUGAAAAACCUCCUCGCCGGAAGACCAAGGGUUCCUGUCCAACGUUAAUCGGGGCAGGGUGAGUCGACCCCUAAGGUGAGGCCGAAAGGCGUAAUCGAUGGGAAACGGGUUAAUAUUCCCGUACUUCUGACUAUUGCGAUGGGGGGACGGAGAAGGCUAGGUGGGCCAGGCGACGGUUGUCCUGGUUCAAGUGCGUAGGCUUGAGAGUUAGGUAAAUCCGGCUCUCUUUAAGGCUGAGACACGACGUCGAGCUGCUACGGCAGUGAAGUCAUUGAUGCCAUGCUUCCAGGAAAAGCCUCUAAGCUUCAGAUAGUCAGGAAUCGUACCCCAAACCGACACAGGUGGUCGGGUAGAGAAUACCAAGGCGCUUGAGAGAACUCGGGUGAAGGAACUAGGCAAAAUGGUACCGUAACUUCGGGAGAAGGUACGCUCUUGAUGGUGAAGUCCCUCGCGGAUGGAGCUGACGAGAGUCGCAGAUACCAGGUGGCUGCAACUGUUUAUUAAAAACACAGCACUGUGCAAAAUCGCAAGAUGACGUAUACGGUGUGACGCCUGCCCGGUGCCGGAAGGUUAAUUGAUGGGGUUAGCGCAAGCGAAGCUCUUGAUCGAAGCCCCGGUAAACGGCGGCCGUAACUAUAACGGUCCUAAGGUAGCGAAAUUCCUUGUCGGGUAAGUUCCGACCUGCACGAAUGGCGUAAUGAUGGCCACGCUGUCUCCACCCGAGACUCAGUGAAAUUGAAAUCGCUGUGAAGAUGCAGUGUACCCGCGGCUAGACGGAAAGACCCCGUGAACCUUUACUACAGCUUGGCACUGAACAUUGAACCUACAUGUGUAGGAUAGGUGGGAGGCUAUGAAGACGUGACGCCAGUUGCGUUGGAGCCGUCCUUGAAAUACCACCCUUGUAUGUUUGAUGUUCUAACUUAGACCC